RNAcentral lists this ribosomal RNA (769 nucleotides) under Pimoa edenticulata. Its description in RNAcentral is "eukaryotic LSU rRNA". It matches the Rfam family "Eukaryotic large subunit ribosomal RNA", at positions 378 to 874 of the family's 3401-position model. The record is from RNAcentral. Lineage: Eukaryota; Metazoa; Arthropoda; Arachnida; Araneae; Pimoidae.
GAAGAGAGAGUUCAAGAGUACGUGAAACUGCUCAGAGGUAAACGGGUGGGCCCUCGAAAUCCUGUGGCGGGAGGAUUCAGUCGGGAGGCUGUGGACGCGGCGUCGGAAAAAUGACAAACAGGGAUCCCGUGAACCGGGCCGUUCCGUUUGCCGCGCUUCCGUGCCACCCGACGCAUUUGUUUCCCGUCCGAAGGACGUCGCAACCGGUUUGGAAACGGCCUUAAGGGCGAGAGCAGGCAGGUGGCCGGUGGCGUUCACUCGUCGCCGGUUGUUAGCCAUCUCGUCGCACGGCACGUGGCCAGACCGUGGUGUCGCGAGGCCCCUGACAUGGGCCUCUUCGCCUCCUCCUUUAAAAACGGUUGCGGGUAGAAGCGUGACAGGAGUUCGACCCUCUUGCGGGCGCACGGACCGACUCCGUGGCCCAGUUUUGAGGUCGUCUUCGUUGGUCGCGCAAGGCCCGUAGGAGUUGUUGGCGGUUGGCGGCGAGUAGAUCGGUCACCCACCCGACCCGUCUUGAAACACGGACCAAGGAGUCUAACAUGUAUGCGAGUCAAUGGGACUCGAAUAAGCCCAGAGGCGCAAUGAAAGCAAAGGCCGGACUCGACACCGUGCCGUGUUGGGAUCCCUGCUCCUUAUGCGGGCGGGGCGCACCAACGACCCGUCCUCUUCCACUGUUGGAUUGGGCGGAGUCUGAGCAUACACGUUGGGACCCGAAAGAUGGUGAACUAUGCCCGGACAGGACGAGGCCAGAGGAAACUCUGGUGGAGGU